Molecule: unclassified non-coding RNA, 145 nt
Filed under: uncultured fungus
Lineage: Eukaryota; Fungi
Description: sequence contains ITS1
Source: RNAcentral
GUUUAAACUUUAUGGAUGGACAACCGACAUACAUUACAAAAACGCGUCAAAAAUGACAGUGCACAAGUGUUUGAAAUAGGAUAGAGGCGGUCGAAACCAAACCUCAAUUUCACUAAUGAUCCUUCCGCAGGUUCACCUACGGAAA